This 1249-nucleotide long non-coding RNA is filed under the name Anas platyrhynchos platyrhynchos (common mallard). RNAcentral's name for it is "lncRNA (ENSAPLG00000022149.1)". The record is from RNAcentral. Lineage: Eukaryota; Metazoa; Chordata; Aves; Anseriformes; Anatidae.
AUGCUGUUCAUAGUAGUCCUUGAAUUUCCUGUAAAUUUUUCCAAGCUUCCGGGAGUCACAGAAUCGUUUAGGUUGGAAAAGACCCUGAAGAUUAUCAAGCCCAUCAACCAGCUAUUUGUGAGGAGACCAAACAUUAUGUGGCAUUCAAGAAGAUGCAUAUGGUUUUCAUAUGGUUCUAACGCUAUGCAUCAUUGGGCAAGAUUUCAACUACUGGGCAAGAUUAUCAUUAAGGAAGAAAUAGCAGUGUGACCACCAUAGAUUCUCAUGCUUCUGUUUAAAAAUUUUGCAUAGUUUUUUAACAGGUCCAGAUCCUUAAGAAGCUAUCACAAAUGGACUCCUCUGGGAUAUGAAGCUCCCUGCUCUUAUCAGAAAGUAAUUUAUGCUAAGGUUUUCCUAGUUUCUAUGAACACAUAUUUGCUUGCUACACUUAAAAAAAUAUAGGUGCUUUCUAUAAAAGCUACUAAAUACAGAUUCCUUCUUCAAGCAGUGAUUGGCUGCACUAAAACAUAAAGUUUCUUUUGCUCACCUUGUGCCCAUGUAAUGACAGGCAGAGAGCAAAGCCAUGUCUCCAAAAGAGUGGUUAAGACUGCUGGUUAAAGCAGACUCUCAUCAGUGUGUACAAAUACCUGAAGAAGCAGUGAAGAUAGAAGCAGGCUCUUUUCAGUGGUACACAGUGACAAACAGGACAAGAGGCAACAGACACUCACUGGAGUAUAAGAAGUUCCCUUUGGACAACAGAAGUCAAUAAUUCUUUACUGUGAGAGUGAUGGAGCACUGGCAUAGGUUUCUCAUAGAGGUCGUGGACUCCCUCCUUGGAGAUCUUCAAAAGCUGCUUGGACAUGGCCCUGUGUUUCCUGUACUGUUCAUGAACUUCCUAUAAGAUUUUCAUAAUUUCUAAAAAAGGGCUAAGAGUCACAGAACCCACAGGUUGGACAAGACCCGUAAGGUUAUCAAGUCCAACUGUUAACCUGACAUACUGAGUGCCAUCACCAAAUCACAUCCCUAAGUGCCAUGUUCACAUGUCACUGAACUACCUUCAGGGAUGGGGAUUCCACCAGUUCCCUGGGAAGCCUGUUCCAAUACGUAACCACCCUCCCUUUAAAGAAAUUCUUCUUGGCAUUCAACCUAAACCUCUUCUGGCAUGACUUGAGGCCAUUUCCUUGCAUCCUAACAGUUGUCACCUGAAAAAAUGCACCAACGCUCUCCUUGCUGCAAUUUCCUUUCAGGUAACUAGCUGUAGAGUAUUAUG